Molecule: ribosomal RNA, 468 nt
Filed under: uncultured bacterium
Lineage: Bacteria
Description: partial 16S ribosomal RNA
Rfam family: Bacterial small subunit ribosomal RNA
Source: RNAcentral
GACGAACGCUGGCGGCGUGCUUAACACAUGCAAGUCGAACGGAAAGGCCCUGCUUUUGUGGGGUGCUCGAGUGGCGAACGGGUGAGUAACACGUGAGUAACCUGCCCUUGACUUUGGGAUAACUUCAGGAAACUGGGGCUAAUACCGGAUAGGAGCUCCUGCUGCAUGGUGGGGGUUGGAAAGUUUCGGCGGUUGGGGAUGGACUCGCGGCUUAUCAGCUUGUUGGUGGGGUAGUGGCUUACUAAGGCUUUGACGGGUAGCCGGCCUGAGAGGGUGACCGGCCACAUUGGGACUGAGAUACGGCCCAGACUCCUACGGGAGGCAGCAGUGGGGAAUAUUGCACAAUGGGCGGAAGCCUGAUGCAGCAACGCCGCGUGCGGGAUGACGGCCUUCGGGUUGUAAACCGCUUUCGCCUGUGACGAAGCGUGAGUGACGGUAAUGGGUAAAGAAGCACCAGCUAACUACGUG